UUACUGAUGAAGAGUCCAAAACCAGGACGAAACAGCUGUCCAGUAC
Molecule: non-coding RNA, 46 nt
Filed under: Trichobilharzia regenti
Lineage: Eukaryota; Metazoa; Platyhelminthes; Trematoda; Strigeidida; Schistosomatidae
Source: RNAcentral